Molecule: ribosomal RNA, 429 nt
Filed under: Pseudomonadota bacterium
Lineage: Bacteria; Pseudomonadati; Pseudomonadota
Description: Proteobacteria bacterium partial 16S ribosomal RNA
Rfam family: Bacterial small subunit ribosomal RNA
Source: RNAcentral
UGGGGAAUAUUGGACAAUGGGCGAAAGCCUGAUCCAGCCAUGCCGCGUGUGUGAAGAAGGUCUUCGGAUUGUAAAGCACUUUAAGUUGGGAGGAAGGGCAGUAAGCGAAUACCUUGCUGUUUUGACGUUACCGACAGAAUAAGCACCGGCUAACUCUGUGCCAGCAGCCGCGGUAAUACAGAGGGUGCAAGCGUUAAUCGGAAUUACUGGGCGUAAAGCGCGCGUAGGUGGUUCGUUAAGUUGAAUGUGAAAGCCCCGGGCUCAACCUGGGAACUGCAUCCAAAACUGGCGGGCUAGAGUAGGGCAGAGGGUGGUGGAAUUUCAUGUGUAGCGGUGAAAUGCGUAGAUAUAGGAAGGAACACCAGUGGCGAAGGCGACCACCUGGGCUCAUACUGACGCUGAGGUGCGAAAGCGUGGGGAGCAAACAGG